GAUGAACGCUGGCGGCGUGCUUAACACAUGCAAGUCGAACGGUGAACACGUAGCUUGCUCUGUGGGAUCAGUGGCGAACGGGUGAGUAACACGUGAGCAACCUGCCCCUGACUCUGGGAUAAGCUCUGGAAACGGCGUCUAAUACUGGAUAUGUGACGUGACCGCAUGGUCUGCGUUUGGAAAGCUUUUUCGGUUGGGGUUGGGCUCGCGGCCUAUCAGCUUGUUGGUGGGGUAAUGGCUCACCAAGGCGUCGACGGGUAGCCGGCCUGAGAGGGUGACCGGCCACACUGGGACUGAGACACGGCCCAGACUCCUACGGGAGGCAGCAGUGGCGAAUAUUGCACAAUGGGCGCAAGCCUGAUGCAGCAACGCCGCGUGAGGGAUGACGGCCUUCGGGUUGUAAACCGCUUUUAGCAGGGAAGAAGCGAAAGUGACGGUACCUGAAGAAAAAGCGCCGGCUAACUACGUG
Molecule: ribosomal RNA, 469 nt
Filed under: uncultured bacterium
Lineage: Bacteria
Description: partial 16S ribosomal RNA
Rfam family: Bacterial small subunit ribosomal RNA
Source: RNAcentral